Molecule: long non-coding RNA, 942 nt
Organism: Lolium perenne
Lineage: Eukaryota; Viridiplantae; Streptophyta; Magnoliopsida; Poales; Poaceae
Source: RefSeq, a predicted model, not a curated record
UCAUUGGUACUGGUAAAUAUGCAGAAAAGUGAAAAUUUCACGAAAAAAAUUAACAGCUGCACCUUCUGCUCCAAAACACAAGCCCAGAAGCAUGCAGCCGGCGAGUCCACCUUCUGCUCCCUCGGUGGUUCACUACCGCCCGGAUUACAGCCAUGCCUUGGCCGUCCAGUGCAAUUCUUCUAUGAAAACAAACUAAAUGAUCACAGUAAGGAACAUUACUUGAUCGAGCCUCCUAUGUUAUAUCUAAGAUGUGGAAUGAUGAUUUGGUAAUACUCCGUGGGGAUUUCAACAAUAAACUUAAGGAAGUUUACUUCGUCCCGCACUAUUGCCAUCGUCUCGCAGUAAUGCGGUAUGAGCGAGGGUAGAAGCCGGUGCAGUUCAGACUGUAGUUCACUGUGCACCUACGCUUCUCCAGGUUAUACCUCAAAAACAUGAUCACGAAUGUCUGGAUGCGUGCUUUGCGCUGCCAUGGGAUGUUCGCCUAGUUCAAACAUGAAAAUUCUUCAUGUUUAUUCCGUCCACGUGAGCAUGUUUUUAUCCAUGCUUGCUUCCUAGCAAACUUAUUCUGAUUGAAGUUCUUUGGUUUGUGUUUGCUGGUAUUAUAAUGUUUUUUCUCUGUACAAAACAUAGAAGUUCAUUUAAGUGGACAUAGGCUAAUGGAGACAAGCUAGAUGGAGAAGGUUCCACGGCCACUUGCACCUCCUUCCACAAGAUGGAGAACGGUGCCUUGAUCCAGCCAACAAACCUCUCCUAUGUCGAAGGACUACUCCUCUGGGAUGGUAAAAUACCUUCACAUUUUGCACACUUGAUUCAAUGAAUAUAGACAUUUUUUCAUUUGAGUUGGCUCUCUGCAAUAUGUAUCACUCACAUCUGGAUGAGCCACCUUUUCAUGCGUCCAUCAACUACCUGAUUGAUGUAGUGUCAUCUCAUAUGCAUGAAAUA